This 253-nucleotide ribosomal RNA is filed under the name uncultured bacterium. Its description in RNAcentral is "partial 16S ribosomal RNA". It matches the Rfam family "Bacterial small subunit ribosomal RNA", at positions 524 to 776 of the family's 1533-position model. The record is from RNAcentral.
UACGUAGGGGGCAAGCGUUGUCCGGAAUCAUUGGGCGUAAAGAGCGUGUAGGCGGCCAGAUAAGUCCGCUGUGAAAUCUCGAGGCUCAACUUCGAGCUGUCGGUGGAAACUGUCUGGCUAGAGUCCGGAAGAGGAGAAUGGAAUUCCUGGUGUAGCGGUGGAAUGCGCAGAUAUCAGGAGGAACACCGGUGGCGAAGGCGGGUCGCUGGGACGGUACUGACGCUGAGGCGCGAAAGCCAGGGGAGCGAACGGG